Molecule: ribosomal RNA, 497 nt
Filed under: uncultured bacterium
Lineage: Bacteria
Description: partial 16S ribosomal RNA
Rfam family: Bacterial small subunit ribosomal RNA
Source: RNAcentral
GAUGAACGCUGGCGGCGUGCCUAAUACAUGCAAGUCGAGCGAACGGACGAGAAGCUUGCUUCUCUGAUGUUAGCGGCGGACGGGUGAGUAACACGUGGAUAACCUACCUAUAAGACUGGGAUAACUUCGGGAAACCGGAGCUAAUACCAGAUGAUAUUUUGAACCGCAUGGUUCAAAAGUGAAAGACGGUCUUGCUGUCACUUAUAGAUGGAUCCGCGCUGCAUUAGCUAGUUGGUAAGGUAACGGCUUACCAAGGCAACGAUGCAUAGCCGACCUGAGAGGGUGAUCGGCCACACUGGAACUGAGACACGGUCCAGACUCCUACGGGAGGCAGCAGUAGGGAAUCUUCCGCAAUGGGCGAAAGCCUGACGGAGCAACGCCGCAUGAGUGAUGAAGGUCUUCGGAUCGUAAAACUCUGUUAUUAGGGAAGAACAUAUGUGUAAGUAACUGUGCACAUCUUGACGGUACCUAAUCAGAAAGCCACGGCUAACUACGUG